AAGGAUUUAAGUUAAAAAAACUAUCAGCCUUCAAAGCUGAAAAUAAAUUUGGGUUUAAGCCUUA
This 64-nucleotide transfer RNA is filed under the name Coraebus cavifrons. RNAcentral's name for it is "tRNA-Trp". Lineage: Eukaryota; Metazoa; Arthropoda; Insecta; Coleoptera; Buprestidae. The record is from RNAcentral.